Molecule: ribosomal RNA, 495 nt
Filed under: uncultured bacterium
Lineage: Bacteria
Description: partial 16S ribosomal RNA
Rfam family: Bacterial small subunit ribosomal RNA
Source: RNAcentral
GACGAACGCUGGCGGCGUGCCUAAUACAUGCGAGUAGAACGCUGAAGGAGGAGCUUGCUUCUCUGGAUGAGUUGCGAACGGGUGAGUAACGCGUAGGUAACCUGCCUGGUAGCGGGGGAUAACUAUUGGAAACGAUAGCUAAUACCGCAUAAUAGUAGAUGUUGCAUGACAUUUGCUUAAAAAGUGCAAUUGCAUCGCUACUAGAUGGACCUGCGUUGUAUUAUCUGGUUGGUGGGGUAACGGCUCACCAAGGCGACGAAACAUAGCCGGCCUGAGAGGGUGGACGGCCACACUGGGACUGAGACACCGCCCAGACUCCCACGGGAGGCAACAGUAGGGAAUCUUCGGCAAUGGGCGGAAGGCUGACCGGGCAACGCCGCGUGAGUGAAGGAGGUUUUCGGAUCGUAAAGCUCUGGUGUAAGGGAAGAACGAGUGUGGGAGUGGAAAGUUCACACUGUGACGGUACCUUACCAGAAAGCGACGGCUAACUACGUG